Molecule: ribosomal RNA, 305 nt
Filed under: uncultured bacterium
Lineage: Bacteria
Description: partial 16S ribosomal RNA
Rfam family: Bacterial small subunit ribosomal RNA
Source: RNAcentral
ACAGCAGCCGCCACGGUAACACGGAGGGUGCAAGCGUUAAUCGGAAUAACUGGGCGUAAAGCGCACGCAGGCGGUUUGCUAAGCUAGAUGUGAAAGCCCCGGGCUCAACCUGGGAACUGCAUUUAGAACUGGCGAACUAGGGUCUUGUAGAGGGGGGUAGAAUUCCAGGUGUAGCGGUGAAAUGCGUAGAGAUCUGGAGGAAUACCGGUGGCGAAGGCGGCCCCCUGGACAGAGACUGACGCUCAGGUGCGAAAGCGUGGGGAGCAAACAGGAUUAGAUACCCCGGUAGUCCCUGUCUCUUAUAC